RNAcentral lists this long non-coding RNA (13943 nucleotides) under Brachypodium distachyon (stiff brome). RNAcentral's name for it is "long non-coding RNA (BDIS_LNC001177)". The record is from RNAcentral. Lineage: Eukaryota; Viridiplantae; Streptophyta; Magnoliopsida; Poales; Poaceae.
ACUAAUGCCUGACACUCUCUACUAUGAAUGUUUGAAUCCUGAGUACUUUGAAUGAAUAUAAUGUGAAUGGAGUUUAUUUCAGUCCCAGCAAACAACAUUUCCACCAGUCUGCAUCAUCAUAUUGAUAAGCAGUAGUAUUUCAGAAUCAGUUGGCAAACCAAGUUGCAUGUGCUGCAUAGAGCAGAUAAUUCAGACUACAACCCACAAGAAUGUACUCCAUACAUAGAGUACAAGCAAGUUCUAACAUAUGACAUCAUUCAAAUUCCUGAGUACAACCAAUUUGACAGCAUUACAUAGUUGAAAAGCAUGAUAGUUCACCUUCAUCACAGAAGGAAAUUCACACAGGUACAUAGUUCAACGCCAACAUCAAGUAAGCAAUUACCUAUACUUCCUCCCACUUGCAGUAAGGUAACUCCACAUCCUGCCCUUACCCCUGCCUCUCACAGGUAGGAUCUUUGAAACUACAACACAGAAAGUUGAAAGAUUAUCAAAAUUUCUACCGAAAACAGUAAACAGGUGCUUCAAAAUUCUUCAAAGAUAAACUAAAUAAAGCUACAUCGGAAUAAAAACAGAUAUUGAAGAAAUACGCAAUACACAUGUUGGAGAAUACAAUGCAAGCUUCUAGAGUGUUCUCAAUAUUACAAGAAAGAAGACAUUACUAUGGAAUACUCUAGAAUAUAAAAUAAAUAAAAGAGGGAACCUUCUAGUGUUUAGAUAUGCAUGAAGAAGCUUUGGAAUACUCUAGAAUAGGAGUUUAAAAUAGAUAAAUAGGAAACCUUCUAGUAUCUAGAUAUUUAUGUAGAAGUGUGUGGAAGGCUUUAAAUAGUUUGUAUCAAUGGCUAAGAUUUUGACACAUGUCAAAGAUCCAAUGGCCAUGUAGUCCUAUAAAUAGAGGCCCUUGCCUCACACCUUGUGUAGUUGAGAAUAAGGAAGUGAAGAAGGUGGAGAACAAGGUGUGAGCAAGUGUAAGGUGUGUAUGCUCUCUCUUGUACUAAUAUUCCUAAAGCAAUAUAGUACUACUUUGUUCAUAUGUGUCUCCCGGUUAGGCCUUGUUAUUUCUAAGUACUUGGUGCAUAUAAGUUGUGAUUUAACGUGAGCGGAUUCGCCCGGAAUCACAACGGUCUUGUUUCAACGUGAGUGGCAUAGCCGCCCGGAUUCAAGACUUGCUUUAACGUGAGUGGCUCUGCCGCCCGGAAGCUUGCACUAAGUAAGUAGAAAUAAAAAGGGACUAAUCAACUACACCAAAGUAGUUGGUAUAGGUGAAUAGGCCCUCUCGUAGUGUGUUAGGUCCACCUCGAAUUCUCUACAGUUGGUAUCAGAGCAGGCGGUCCGGGACCGUCAUUUGGAGGAAGAGUUGUAAGCACGGGGUGCUUGCUUUGUUCGGUGCAACAAGAAGGCGCUGAGGGGAGACUCUGCUGGUGCACAGUCUAGGACUGUGAAGCUGGUCCGGGACCAAAGCUUACUUGACGCUGGGCGCAAGUCACCAUGGCGGAUCUUGCUAGCUCAAGCAGCGGGAUCAGGAAGCUUAAUAGCCACAACUAUGGCUAUUGGCAGACCUGCAUGGAGUCCUACCUACAAGGUCAGGACCUAUGGGAGGUCGUUGCGGGCACCGAAGCAUUUCCUCCAGAGAAUGCUGAUGCCUUGCGGAAAUGGAAGAUCAAGUCAGGGAAGGCCAUGUUUGUAUUGAAGACGACCAUCGAAGAGGACCUAUUGGAGCACAUCCGUGAUGAGAAGACACCUAAGGAGGCAUGGGAGACUUUGGCGAAGCUAUUCUCAAGGAAAAAUGAAGCACGGCUCCAGCUCUUGGAAAAUGAGCUCGCAGGUAUCUCACAAGGCAAUCUAUCCAUCAGUCAAUAUUUUUCGAAGGUGAAGUUUAUUUGCCGUGAGAUAUCCCAACUUGCCCCGGAUGAGAAGGUGAGCGAGGCUCGAAUGAAGAGAAUCAUCAUCCACGGUCUUAGACCCGAAUACAAUGGGUUUAUGGCUGCGGUGAUGGGAUGGCCUACUCCACCUUCAGUAGUGGAGUUGGAGAAUUUAUUGGUAAAUCAAGAGGAGUUAGCUAAGAAGAUGGGGAGCAUAACCAUAAAGGAAGAAGAGGAGGCACUUUUCACUAAGAAGAAGAGCCCACACCAAAAACAAUGGAAGCCCAAGCCUAAGUGGACAGAAGGUGGGAAAGAACAUCCAAAGGAGAGAAGCAACUCUUCAGGGGGAGACCAACGAGAAAGACAAGGACCAAAAUGGUACGAGAAGAAUGCAAGGAGACCAAGUGAUGGAUGCUUCAAUUGUGGCAAGGCAGGUCACUUUGCUCGAGAAUGCCGAUUUCCAAGGAGGUCAAAUGAUGGAUGCUCCAAUUGUGAUAAGAAAGGUCACCUUACUCGAGAAUGUCGAUAUCCAAGAAGGCGUUAUGAAGGGAAUGUGGCCACCACAAAGGAGAAAGAGGAGAUCACUCUAGAAGUAUCCAUGAGCGAAGAAGAAUGGGACGCCGAAGCUGGAUACUCUCAAGAGGUUGACAUAGAAGAUUUGGAGGAAGACAUGGAGGUGCCAGCCCUUGCAAUGGAUGAAGAAGAGUUGGAGGAAGACAUGGAGCCACCAGUCUUUGCAACGGAUGAAGAAGAGUUGGAGAAGGACAUGGAGGCGUCAGCCCUUGCAGCAAUCAAGGAUCCAAAAAUCAACUAUAAAGAUGAUUGGAUCGUUGAUUCUGGGUGCUCCAACCAUAUGACUAAUGAUGACAACAAGCUGCAAGAUAUGACCGAGUACAAGGGAGGAAAAAUGGUGCUGACAGCCAACAACUCCAAGCUAUCGAUUUCCCAUGUUGGAAAGACAGCCGUUCCAAGGUAUGGUCCUCAACAACUCCAACUUGAGAGAGUCUAUCACGUUCCAGGCUUGAAGAAGAAUCUGUUGUCAGUACCUCAACUGACAGCAGAAGGGAAGUAUGUUCUGUUUGGUCCACAAGAAGUAGCAAUCUUCAGAAGGCUCAAGGUGAUCGGCACACCCAUCAUGGAAGGGAAAAAGAGAGACUCACUCUUUGUGCUCUCUGCUGAGUCAGCAUACGUAGACAAGACUCGAAAGAAUGAGACGGCUGAUCUUUGGCAUGCGCGGCUUGGACACGUCAGCUACCACAAGUUGAAGGAGAUGAUGGAGAAGCACGUAGUGAAGGGGCUUCCUGAUCUUGAUAUCCGUACAGACAUGGUCUGUGCUGGAUGUCAGUAUGGCAAGGCCCACCAAUUGCCAUACAAGGAGUCGCAGCAUCAGUCAAAGGUACCUCUAGAGCUCAUACACUCAGAUGUCUUUGGCCCAGUCAAGCAAAUAUCACUUGGAGGCAUGAGAUACAUGGUGACCUUCAUCGACGACUUCUCAAGGUACGUUUGGGUAUACUUUAUGAAGGAGAAGUCUGAGACCUUUAUGAAAUUUAAGGAAUUUAAGGAUAUGAUAGAAGGUGAACUCGAGUAUAAGAUACGGUGCCUACGCACUGACAAUGGGAGAGAAUAUUUAUCCAAUGAGUUCACCAUCUAUCUCAAGAAAAAUAAGAUAAAAAGGCAGUUAACUUGCCCUAAUACUCCACAACAAAAUGGAGUAGCGGAGCGCAAGAAUCGUCACCUUGCGGAAACUUGUCGGAGUAUGUUGCACGCCAAAAAUGUUCCUGGAAGAUUCUGGGCCGAGUGUAUGAGGACUGCAGCUCAUGUGAUUAAUAAGCUACCACAAGUGAGGUUGGGGUUCAAAUCACCACAUGAGAAGCUUUGGAGGAUGAAACCAGCCAUCAGCCACCUCAAGGUAUUUGGUUGCGUAUGCUAUAUCUUUGUGCCAGAUCACCUAAGAACCAAGUUUGAAAAGAAGGCGAAGAGGUGCAUCUUCGUUGGUUACGAUGAUGCUCAAAAAGGAUGGAGGUGUUGUGAUCCAACCACAGGUAAAUGUCACACCUCAAGGAACAUUGUGUUCGAUGAAGCUUCUUCAUGGUGGUCCCCUAAGAAAGAAGAGAUUCCUGAAUCACCUGACGUGGAGGAGGUUAUAGAAGAAGAAAGAGAUCAGAAGCUAGAAACCCCAAGUGAAGGAGAAAGGAGCUCACCAAGUAAGACCAAGAGUCCGUGGAAGACUGGCAUACACCAACCUGAAGAGCCACAAACCGAGGAGCAUGAUCAAGAACUUCGAAGAUCAACAAGACCCAGGAAGCCCAAUCCAAGGUACGCUAAUGCUGCUCUUGCCGAUGAGUCUUUACCUAUUGAGCCAUCUUCCUAUGAAGAAGCAGCACGAGGCCCUGAGUGGCAGAAGGCGAUGGAAGAAGAGAUUAAGGCACUAAAGGAAAACCAAACAUGGGACUUAGUGCCAAAGCCAAAGGACGUGAAGCCAAUAUCCUGCAAAUGGGUCUACAAAGUGAAAACCCGAACAGAUGGCUCAAUUGAAAGGUAUAAAGCUCGACUUGUGGCACGAGGUUUCUCGCAGGAGUAUGGACUGGAUUACGAAGAAACAUUCAGUCCGGUGGCAAAAAUCACAACAGUUCGAGUCUUGCUUGCAUUGGCUGCCAGCAAGUCUUGGGAAUUGUGGCAGAUGGAUGUCAAGAAUGCCUUUCUACAUGGAGAACUUGACAAGGAGAUUUACAUGGAGCAGCCAAAGGGGUUUGAGAGCAAGAAAUACCCCGAGCAUGUCUGCAAACUAAAGAAGGCACUCUACGGGCUAAAGCAAGCACCAAGAGCAUGGUACGGAAAGAUCGGUGAGUUCCUAGUACACAAUGGCUUUAAAGUUGCUCCAUCAGACUCUAGUUUAUUUGUGAUGGCCAAGGAAGGAAGACUAGCAAUAGUUCUAGUCUAUGUUGAUGACUUGAUCAUCACGGGAGAUUACUCCGAGGAGAUAGAAAGGACAAGGGAAAAUCUCUCCGUGAGAUUUCAAAUGAAGGAACUUGGUGAGUUAAGACACUUCCUUGGACUUGAGGUGGAGCACACUAAGAAUGGGAUAUUCUUAGGCCAACAAAAGUAUGCGAAGGACCUUCUUAAGAGGUAUGGGAUGCUUGACUGCAAACCUAUUUCCACUCCUAUGGAUCCUAACGCAAGACUUCAAGAAGACAAAGGAAAGAACUUGGAGGAUGCAACCAUGUAUCGGCAACUGGUCGGGAGUCUUAUCUAUCUGACACUUAGUCGGCCAGAUAUUUCCUAUGCCGUUGGAGUGGCAAGCCGAUACAUGAGCACACCAAAGAAGCCUCACCUUGAUGCAAUAAGGCGAAUACUCAGGUAUGUCAAAGGCACCUUAAAUUAUGGCAUCCUAUAUAAGAAAACAAAAGAAUGCCAGGUUAUUGGUUACUGUGACGCCGACUAUGCCGGAGAUUGUGAUACACGGAGAUCAACCACUGGAUAUCUCUUCAGUCUUGGAUCGGGAGCCAUAACAUGGUGCAGCAAAAGGCAACCUACAGUGGCACUAUCAAGUACUGAAGCAGAAUAUCGAUCAGCGGCAGCGGCAGCACAAGAAAGCACCUGGCUUAAACAAUUGAUGGAAGACCUUCAUCAAACUCCAAAAGAUCAGGUAUGGAUUUUCUGUGAUAACUUAACCACCAUAAGGCUAGCAGAAAAUCCUGUCUUCCAUGCAAGGACAAAGCACAUAGAGGUGCACUACCACUACAUCAGAGAAAAUGUCCUUAAGGGGGAAAUUGAGAUGGUGCCAACAAAGACAGAAGACCAGACUGCAGAUAUCCUCACCAAGAGUCUCAACAAAUCAAAGUUCGAGAAGUUUCGAAAAGCUCUUGGCAUGGUCACCAAAGAAGCUUUGCAUUGAGGGGGAGUGUUGGAGAAUACAAUGCAAGCUUCUAGAGUGUUCUCAAUAUUACAAGAAAGAAGACAUUACUAUGGAAUACUCUAGAAUAUAAAAUAAAUAAAAGAGGGAACCUUCUAGUGUUUAGAUAUGCAUGAAGAAGCUUUGGAAUACUCUAGAAUAGGAGUUUAAAAUAGAUAAAUAGGAAACCUUCUAGUAUCUAGAUAUUUAUGUAGAAGUGUGUGGAAGGCUUUAAAUAGUUUGUAUCAAUGGCUAAGAUUUUGACACAUGUCAAAGAUCCAAUGGCCAUGUAGUCCUAUAAAUAGAGGCCCUUGCCUCACACCUUGUGUAGUUGAGAAUAAGGAAGUGAAGAAGGUGGAGAACAAGGUGUGAGCAAGUGUAAGGUGUGUAUGCUCUCUCUUGUACUAAUAUUCCUAAAGCAAUAUAGUACUACUUUGUUCAUAUGUGUCUCCCGGUUAGGCCUUGUUAUUUCUAAGUACUUGGUGCAUAUAAGUUGUGAUUUAACGUGAGCGGAUUCGCCCGGAAUCACAACGGUCUUGUUUCAACGUGAGUGGCAUAGCCGCCCGGAUUCAAGACUUGCUUUAACGUGAGUGGCUCUGCCGCCCGGAAGCUUGCACUAAGUAAGUAGAAAUAAAAAGGGACUAAUCAACUACACCAAAGUAGUUGGUAUAGGUGAAUAGGCCCUCUCGUAGUGUGUUAGGUCCACCUCGAAUUCUCUACAACACAGAGUGAAGCAAAUAGCAACAGUAGAAGAAUAGAGCCAAGAACAUAACAGUAAGUGAAACAAAGACUGAAGAAAACAGGUUUGAUGAAUGGUAUCACCAGGACCAUUUAGCCUCAUGCAAACUUGUCAAAAUGUUCAGGAAUUAUAUUGCAUGUAGUGGCUUGAACUGGUGACGAGUUAUCACGACCUUAACUCAAAUGGUGUCACACCAGGCGAAUUAGAGAUCUGAUUUCAGUGUAUUAGGGAUACAAGCUGGAAGAGAUAGAAGUCAAGGAGGAAGAGCACGGGCGGGGAAAGUAGUGUUUCACACUCUACAGUUCAUCGUUAUCUCUUCCUUACUCUCCUAGCAUUACAUAGGCAAGGUGCCUGAUUCACUGGACACAGCCAGGUCAGGAGUGGACUCCAGUUCAGUGGGCUGCAACCUUUCUUCAGUGGACUUAUCCAUGACGGCCCGGCCCAGGUGCGUGACAUUCUCCACGUCUUGUUGACCUGCUUGUCCCCAAGCAGGUGCAUUUGGAUACUCUUCUUGCAAUCUAUUCUUGUUUUCCCAGGUUGUCCAAGAUGAAAGCAAGGAAGACCAUUGUAUCAGCACCAAAGAAACUGAAGAUUUACCUGUUGGGAUUUGCUUGGAAUCAAGAACAACAACAGGCACAAUGUCAGUGUUUGUUGAAGCACAUUGCAGAGGAAGAUCAGGUUCAGCUACCAUGUGAGCUGGCAAAGCUGGUUUCAGUACAGAGACAUGAACAACCGGGUGAAUUUUACUGCCCACUGGAAGAUCCAAUUUGUAUGCCACCUCGCCUAUACGUUGCAGUAUAGUGUAUGGGCCAAAAUACUUAUAACUGAGUUUCUGAUUAGAUCUUCUAGCGAUGGAAGUUUGCACAUACGGUUGUAAUUUCAGAUAGACUUUGUCGCCAACCUGAAAUGUUCUUUCCAUGCGCUUCUUGUCAGCCUGACUCUUCAUACGUUGUUGAGCUCUCAACAAAUGUUGCUGAAUGAGAUUAUUCAUAUCAUCCUUCUCCUUAAGCCAUUCUGCCAAAUCUGGUGUUGUGUCAGCAGUACCAUCUUGUAACCAAAGUGUUUUGGUUUGUAUCCAUAUAAAACUUCAAAAGGUGACCUUUUUAGAGCUGAAUGAAAUGUUGUAUUGUACCAGUACUCAGCUAAAGCCAGCCAUUUUGGCCAUUUUGUUGGGCAAGCAUUAGUCAUACAUCGCAAAUAUGUCUCUAGGCACUGAUUUAACCUUUCGGUCUGUCCAUCCGUUUGUGGAUGGUAACUAGAACUCAUAUUCAAUGUAGUAUCUGUGAUUUUGAACAAUUGUUGCCAAAAGUUGCUAGUGAAUACUUUGUCUCGAUCUGAUAUAAUAAUCUUGGGAAGACCAUGAAGCUUGUACACAUGCUCAACAAAUACUUGUGCGACCGUCAUAGCAGUAUAUGGGUGAGCGAGAGGGAUAAAGUGACCGUACUUUGUAAAUUUGUCGACGAUCACCAAAAUAGUAUCAAACCUUGAUGAUUUGGGCAAGCCUUCGAUGAAGUCUAAACUGAUAAUAUCCCAAGCUUUCUCUGGUAUAGGUAAGGGUUGCAAUAAUCCUGGAGUACGAGUAUGCUCAGGCUUCGCUUGCUGACAAACUGUGCAUCCAUUAACAUAAUCUUUCACGUUUCGCUUAAGAUUGGGCCACGCAAACAAGGCCUUCACUUUCUGAUAUGUUGCAGUUAUGUCAUUAUGCCCUCCGACACCACUGGCAUGGAGUGCUAACAAAAUUGCUUGUUUUGCUUGCUGAUGGUUACCUAACCAGAUUCGAUCCUUGUACUUAAUAAUGCCAUCAAGCAAAGAAUAUCCGGUCUCAUUUGGGCUCUGAAGGCUCAGUUGAGUGAGAAGUGUUUUGGUCUCUGGAUCUUGUAGAUAACCUUCCACCACAACCUCUAACCAUCUUGGUUUGCUUAUAGAUAUGGCAGACACUGAAUGAUGUUGAUACUGACGAGAUAGAGCAUCAGCUGCCCCAUUAGCUGCACCUUGCUUAUAUUUGACCUGAUAUUGAAGACCCAGUAAUUUACAAAAUGCUUGGUGUUGAACACUGUUUGUCAAUUGUUGUUCCUCUAGAUGAAUAAGACUUUUGUGAUCCGUGAAAAUAGUGAAUUGUUGAUGCUGCAAGUAAGAUUUCCAUUUCUCUACUGCCAUGAUUAGCGCCAAACACUCUUUCUCAUAUGUGGAGAAGGCCUGUGAACGCGAGCUUAGUGUCUUACUAAGGUAAGCAAUAGGAUGCCCAUGUUGUGAAAGGACUGCGCCAAUACCCACUCCUGAGGCAUCCGUAUGGAGCGUGAAAGGCUUACUGAAAUCCGGCAAAGCCAGGACAGGAGCCUUGACCAAUGCUUCUUUGAGAGCUAAGAAGGCCUCAUUCACAGUGGAGGACCAAACAAAUGAUAUAUUUUUCUUCAACAGCUCUGUAAGAGGUUUGCUAAUGGUACCAUAGCCUUGAAUGAAUUUCCGGUAGUAUCCUGAUAGUCCAAGAAAACCUCUGAGUUGCUUGAUAUUUGUAGGUGUAGGCCAACUCUGAACUGCCUUUAUCUUUUCAGGAUCUGUAGCAACUCCCUCCGCACUGAUAACAUGCCCCAAAUACUCUAGUUUAGGCUGAGAAAAUGAGCACUUGGUGCCUUUGACAAAUAAUUUGUUGACACGAAGGAUGGAAAACACCUCCUGGAGAUGAUUUUUAUGGUCUUGCAGUGAUGUACUGUAUAUGAGUAUGUCAUCCAUGAAUAUGAGGACACUCCUCCUUAUCAUAUGGGCAAAUAAACUGUUCAUUGCAUUUUGGAAGGUCGCUAGUGCGUUGGUAAGGCCGAAAGGCAUUACUUUGAAUUCCCAAUGGCCAUGAUGUGUCUUGAAUGCCGUUUUGUGUUCUUCGCCUGGAACCAAUCUAAUUUGGUGAUACCCGGAGCGAAGAUCUAACUUAGUAAACCAGCAAGCCCCUGCCAGCUCAUCCAACAAUUCAUCUACAAUUGGAAGGGGGUACUUGUUCUUCACUGUUAAUGCGUUCAGAUGCCGGUAAUCAAUGCAAAGACACCAUGCUCCAUCUUUUUUCUUGACCAAAAUUACCGGCGAAGCGUACGGACUGGAACUGAUUUGUACUAUUCCCCUAUUGACCAUGUCGCUGAUUUGUUUUUCAAUCUCAUCUUUUUGUGUAGGAGAAUAUCUGUAAGCCUUCUUAUGGAAAGGAGCAGCACCCGGAAUUAAUGGAAUUUGAUGGUCGCAGUGCCUGUGAGGUGGUAGUUCCAUAGGUUCUUUGAACAACUCUGAAUUAGCAUCAAUGACCUCCUUAAUGGAUGGUGGUAUUGUGUUUUCUGAAGGCUCUGUUGAAAUCAAUGAGAGUUGAACCAAGUGCGCCACUGCGUUUUCUUCAAUCAAGUGCUGAAGUUGUUUACCAGAUACCCGAGGACAGUGUGUUGUGUUAUCUUUCACGCCACGCAAAGUGAUAUGCUUGCCCAUAUACUUAAAGCGUAGCGUCUUACGACGCCAAUCUACCCACAUCUUCCCAUUGUUCUGUUCUUCAAGCCAGUCCAUUCCUAACACCAUAUCAUAGCCCCCCAGCUUCAAUAGACGGACAUCAGUGACAAACUUAGCAUCUUGAACACCCCAUUGUAGUCCAGUUAUGCCAGAUGUACUCUUGACCUUGGCCCCAUUGGCAAGAGUGACUACUGCUGGAGUUGUUUUAGUAAUGUCACACUGGAGUUCAGUUGCAAGAUCUUCAUGGAUAAAAUUGCUUGAACUGCCAGAAUCAAUAAGGAUCAGAACUAGACGCUUCCCGAUUGCACCAAGUGGCCUGAUCGUGCGUUUCGGUUGUGUACCAGAAAUAGCUGCCAAAGACACAUGUAAGCACAUUAUCUGCUCUUCAUCAGGUUCACUCUCAGCAUCGCUAGUGACAGAAGGAGCAACAUUAUCAGGGUCCUUGUCAAUCGGCAGAGCUUCACACAAUUCUUCCAUCACAGCAAGUGAAAUAUUUCUGGGACACUUGUGGCCAGGAGCAUAUGGGCCACCACACUUGAAACAUCCCCCCCUGGCUCGGCGUUGUGCACGGAGUGUAUCAAGUUUUGUGGGCGGAGCACGGAAGUCAGACUCCUUUCCCUUGUGUGCAGCAGCCUCAGCAGGAUGUUCAUCCACAAUACCUUUACCAGCUGAGUUAUGCCAUUUCUUUGGUUCAUACUUAUUGUACAGAAUUUUGCGCUCUGCAGCCAAUUGUGCUUCCUGCAAUUGUGCCAGAGAAAUAGCCGCAUCAACCGUUCUAGGUUUAUGCAAGGUGAUGGCAGAACGAAUUUCUUUCUUAAGCCCUUUUAUGAAUUUUGUCACAAAGAAGGUGUCAUCCAGAGCAGAAUUGUGGCUAAGGAGUUGAUGCAUAAUUGUUUCAAACUCAUGGUAAUAGUUUGUCUAAUAUCUAGAGCUUGAUUCAUACUGUUAUAGUAAAGAUCUUUGCCGAACUUAGAACAAACCGCAACACACAAAGCUACCCAAUUGUCAAUGUCAUGGUUUGCUUCAUAAGUCUGAAGCCACAAGGCUGCAUUUCCCUUGAAAUGCAAGGUAGCAUAAUCAGCUUUCAAGUCUUAGGGAACAUGAAACAUGUUGAAAUACUUUUCACAUUUCUCUUUCCAAAUUUUAGGAUUACUGCCAUUAAACUUUGGGAAGGUUGUCUUAGGCAUGCGGAAAUAAAUAUCUCUGUCAUGUCUAUCAGUCCUUGUGUCGGAAUGAGUAUAGUUGGACGAACAGAAGGCCCGGAUUCAAAUUGGUUACGAGGUAAAUGAAACGCACCAUUGCCCAGGACAUGCUCAUGAGCAAUGUCCUGGUUUGGAAGUGUAGCACCGUGCCCAGUAGGGCCAGGGAUUCGUGCGGCACCAGCUGAUGAGGAACCUUCAAGACGGUGAAGGCGCGCGCCUAAUUCCACAUUGAGGAUGGAUGUCACCAUUUGAUCCUGCGUGGAAGAGAUCUUCUCUGUAGUCACGCGCAGGUCUUGACAAUCCUUGGAAGUGCGAUCCAUUGCUGUAAUCGCUGUGUUGGCUGUCUGAACAGCCUGAGUAGCCGUCUGAACCGCUUGAGCAGCGACUUCUUUCGUUGCAUUCAGACCAGUGAGGAGUGCCUGAAUGUUUUUCUCCACUUCGGUCAGCGAUUCCUCCACCACGGCCAUACGUGCCGUAAGGGUCGGAGGUCGAGCUCCUCUUGCCGUGGUGCCUCGCCUCGGUCAACUCCGCGGCCGUUGCACGUCGCCUCCGGGCUCCGGCGCCACUUCACCACGCAGCAGCCGCCACACCACCGCGGCCAGGAGGGAGGGAUAUCGUGGAUUCUAGUGGAGAUCCCGACGCGGUUCUUCUCCCAACUCGACGAUUCUGAGCGCAAAUCGUGAGUCGCGGGAUUUUCUGGUGUUUUGAGGAUAAUGAUCCGAAGAUCGCUGGCUCUGAUACCAAAUAUCACGACCUUAACUCAAAUGGUGUCACACCAGGCGAAUUAGAGAUCUGAUUUCAGUGUAUUAGGGAUACAAGCUGGAAGAGAUAGAAGUCAAGGAGGAAGAGCACGGGAGGGGACAGUAGUGUUUCACACUCUGCAGUUCAUCGUUAUCUCUUCCUUACUCUCCUAGCAUUACACAGGCAAGGUGCCUGAUUCACUGGACACAGCCAGGCCAGGAGUGGACUCCAGUUCAGUGGGCUGCAACCUUUCUUCAGUGGACUUAUCCAUGACGGCCCGGCCCAGGUGCGUGACACGAGUGUACCAAGGCCUGCAGUUCCUGGUAGCUGACCGAUGCGCGUAACGCGAUAGCAUGCGCUUUUUGCAUUAGCUGAUGCGCCGUUGAUGCAGCUGGGAUAAGAUGGGAAACUUAAAACUGGUCAUCGUCAGUCGAGCCGCCAUAGGAAGCGUGUGUUUCUUUCGUGUUCGGUGGCUCAGGGCAUCCCUCUCCAUGCCUGGGUCCGUGACAUUCAAGUGGGGUUGUCGGCUGCUGGGCUUGCUCAAUUCCUUCUCCUUUGGGAGCGCAUCGCCUCCCUUCCCCCCUUGUAUGCAAGUGGUCCUCUUCUGGUUUUCUCUACUCACGUUCUGCUUACCAGGCUUUGUUUCUCGGUUCUACUCCCUACAAAUCCUUUGAGAUCAUUUGGCGGCCUAGAGCUCCGUUGGAACACCAAAUCUUUGCUUGGUUGGCUAUCCACGAUUGCUGCUGGACCGGAGAGCGCCGCCUGCGAUGAGGUGACUUGCCCCCUUGGCGACCAUGAACUUGAAACUACUGAUCAUCUUUUGUUGCAAUGCCCUUUUUCUAGGUCUCUCUGGUUCGAGGUGUUGUCUAUCACUCUAUCUUCAGCUGGGCUUUCAGGAUGACGUCCUCCUCGGACUAGCUUCAGGCUUGGUCCUCCUAACAUGACGAUUCAAAGGAGCCGGUACAUCAAGCGUGCCUACCACGAGUGUGAUGAACUCUGGAGAAGCAAGCGGCGGCGGGCUCUGAACGAUGACCAAGAAGCUGAGCCAGGUGUAACAACAAUACAGUCAUCCUCAUCCUUUCCUGUUGUGAAGAAGAUCACUAUUGCUGCGGUAUGUUCGGUCUCGUCUUUCUUCGGCUUGAACAAAGAUGAGCUGAGCCGCUCCGCUGUUCGAAGAUUUGAGCUGUUCGCUGAGAACCUAGGCAGGCAAGUUCAUGAGGGACGUGGAGUCUGGCUGUACACUUGGGCACUACAGGUUUUUUUUAUCCGCAAUUAAUUAUGCUCUGCCUGGCCGAGGCUGCAAUGCUUCUGAAUGUCACGAAUCGCGAUGGCUUGGGAAGUUAUGCCAGGAGGCAUUAAAAUGCUUCUUAACACAUUGGCUUUUCAGCUGGAAUUGAGUAUACUAUUGCAGAUGGGAUUAGCCUUUUGGUUUAACGAUGAGGACAUCACAGUUACAGUGUAGUACCAGUUGUGAGCUAGUACAUGGUAAUGGGUUGGAGAAGGGUGAUAAAUGCAGAGGAUGCUUCCUAAGGCGUCACAUUUCAUCCCCCAACUCGUCCAACACCCUGAUUUGGUAGCCUUCUUACUGCAGAAUCUCCCUUGAGCCCUACUAACCCAGACAGCAAACAAGCUACCCUAAGCGAUUAACCCGAAAGAGCAAGAAAAACUUGCGCCCAAUCCAUCCAUCAGUACGGACGAUUCCGCGGGGCUGCGAGCAAGAGCGGCGGGAGUGAAAGAGAGACGGAGGGAGGGAGGAACCCUAGCCUGACAUCGCGGGCGCGGUUGCGGCAGGCGACGGCUGCCCCCCUGCUCGACGGCCCCGUCUCCCAGGCCCAGCAGGUCUUGGCGCUCGUCUCCAUGACGCCUCGAUGUAAUCCGGCGGCGGCGGCGUGGUCUCGUCGGCUGUCGGCGCCGGAUGCAGAAUCGCUGGUGUGCCGGCCAGGGCACGAACUCCGGGCGGCACGGCAGCCGGGACGGCCCACGGGCCUCAUCUCGGGAAAAAGCCUGACCCGGCCAACUUUCGUGCUUGGCCC